AGAACGAACGCUGGCGGCAGGCCUAAUACAUGCAAGUCGAGCGCCCCGCAAGGGGAGCGGCAGACGGGUGAGUAACGCGUGGGAAUCUACCUAGCUCUACGGAAUAGCUCCGGGAAACUGGAAUUAAUACCGUAUACGUCCCUCGGGAGAAAGAUUUAUCGGAGUUAGAUGAGCCCGCGUUGGAUUAGCUAGUUGGUGGGGUAAUGGCCCACCAAGGCGACGAUCCAUAGCUGGUCUGAGAGGAUGAUCAGCCACACUGGGACUGAGACACGGCCCAGACUCCUACGGGAGGCAGCAGUGGGGAAUAUUGGACAAUGGGCGAAAGCCUGAUCCAGCCAUGCCGCGUGAGUGAUGAAGGCCCUAGGGUUGUAAAGCUCUUUCAACGGUGAAGAUAAUGACGGUAACGUAGAAGAAGCCCGGCUAACUUCGUGCCAGCAGCCGC
This 442-nucleotide ribosomal RNA is filed under the name uncultured bacterium. RNAcentral's name for it is "SSU rRNA". It matches the Rfam family "Bacterial small subunit ribosomal RNA", at positions 26 to 518 of the family's 1533-position model. The record is from RNAcentral.